RNAcentral lists this long non-coding RNA (1378 nucleotides) under Strigops habroptila (Kakapo). RNAcentral describes it as "lncRNA (ENSSHBG00005004503.1)". The record is from RNAcentral. Lineage: Eukaryota; Metazoa; Chordata; Aves; Psittaciformes; Psittacidae.
AGACUGCUGGUGUGAGAGACAUGUAAACAAACAUGGCAGAGAACUCCACCACAUGCAUACAAGGACUGCUGGUUGCAGUUGAAGAAAAUACAUGUAAUUGUUAGAAUGUGUGUUUUAGAAUAGAUCCUCUUAUCACAUAAAAUAAGGCUGGGCUUGUUUAAAUGUGAAUACUAUAGGAAAAAUCAAAACCUGAUUUUUUAGAACUCUUAGAAAAUUUCUCCUGACAGAAUUAAGCUGAAGAGAAUGACCAAGUAAACAAUGGUCUGAAAAGAAAUGUUAGAGUAGUUACAGUAUGUGGGUAUUUGUUUGUGCUAUAAAUCUUUUACCAAUUUAUUAUGUUAUUGGAAUAAUUGUUUAAAACUCAGUGCCUUAAAUCCUGAUUGCCAAAAGGCACCAGUUAUUUUGCCUUUUCCUAGGAAGGGCACUUGAAAUGUAGAUGUAUAGAAAUAUGGGGGAAAAAUAGAGAGAAAAAUGAAUUCAUGGUGAAUAGAAAAUUUAAAACUACAUUUGAAACACAUUUCCAGUAUCACACGAAAAUUUGCACUUUCAUAAUUAAUGAAUGGCCUUUCCUUCCUUGUCCCUGAUUUUAGUUCGUUGCAGCAAAUGAACAAAAGAACAAAUAACCUGAAGUCAGCAAAGCCAACACAGCAGCUUCCAUAAAACCCUUUGCCAAACUGAUUAGAUUUGCAAUUCACUCACUAAGCCUGCCUGGUCAUGGCAGCAUCAUGCAAUGAAUCUUUUCAUUGAAUAAAACUGGAAUUGCAGAGAACUGAUUUUUUUUUUUUUUUGUAUGAAUACUUCUGUAGUGCUUGUUUAAACAUGAAAUUGUUCCUGAUUAACUCAUGCGUGAGCAGCUUACUCUUAAAAAUCUUCCUGUUAAGCUUAAUGUAGUUGUUUAAUAAUUAAACAGAAGCGGUUAAUUGGAAAAUAGUGCACACAUAGGCAAUCCUCAGUCUUUUUCCUCUGGAUGUAAAUGGUUAGUGGCUGGCUAAAGAAGUGGUAUCUUAAAAAAAAUCCUUGGAUAACAGGUUUUCUUAAUUUGUUGAUUUUUGUAAUUUGUGGGACUAAAUAAGAAAGAGAAAGUAUCUGAUAGUUUUUGCAUGUAAAAUAGCAUUCAAGUAGAUUGGCAUGAAGGUAGAAGAAUCCUUUGUUUCUAUCUAAUAACUUAUGGAGCUCCAGAAACUAAUGGUUGCAUUGCUCGGCAGGGAGCUUAUGAGAACUACAGCGUGUCCUCAGCCUCCACAUAACUGCUAUUCACAUCCAGGCAGAGCAGGGAGAGAGAACAACCUGGUUUUCAUUCAGGUAGUAGCUCAGAUUGUGGGUGGACUGGGCUUUUACAGACUUUAUUUAGGAUUAUUUUUUUACAGCCUUUGCAUAA